GUGAAGAACGUAGCGAAAUGCGAUACUUGGUGUGAAUUGCAGAAUCCCGUGAACCAUCGAGUCUUUGAACGCAAGUUGCGCCCGAAGCCACUAGGCCGAGGGCACGCCUGCCUGGGCGUCACACGCCGUUGCCCCCCCAUCUACUCCUUCGGGAUUGCGGGGGGGCGGAUGAUGGCCUCCCGUGCGCCUAGCCGCGCGGUUGGCAUAAAUACCAAGUCCUCGGCGACGCACGCCACGACAAUCGGUGGUUGCGAAACCUCGGUUGCCCGUCGUGUGCGUUCGUCGCGCAUCGAGGGCUCGAAAAAAUGCUCGGCUCCGGCUGGGCUUUCAACGCGACCCCAGGUCAGGCGGGGUUACCCGCUGAAUUUAAGCAUAUCAAUAAGCGGAGGA
RNAcentral lists this unclassified non-coding RNA (390 nucleotides) under soil metagenome. Its description in RNAcentral is "partial contains 5.8S ribosomal RNA, internal transcribed spacer 2, and large subunit ribosomal RNA". The stretch from base 2 to 121 matches the Rfam family "5.8S ribosomal RNA", at positions 37 to 154 of the family's 154-position model. The record is from RNAcentral.